Molecule: ribosomal RNA, 25 nt
Filed under: Hymenochaete cana
Lineage: Eukaryota; Fungi; Basidiomycota; Agaricomycetes; Hymenochaetales; Hymenochaetaceae
Description: partial 18S ribosomal RNA
Source: RNAcentral
CCAUCAGCUAGUCUGGAGGUCAUUA